RNAcentral lists this ribosomal RNA (254 nucleotides) under uncultured bacterium. RNAcentral describes it as "partial 16S ribosomal RNA". It matches the Rfam family "Bacterial small subunit ribosomal RNA", at positions 524 to 776 of the family's 1533-position model. The record is from RNAcentral.
UACGGGGAGAGCAAGCGUUGUUCGGAUUUACUGGGCGUAAAGGGCGCGUAGGCGGUCAGCACAAGUCAGUUGUGAAAUCUCCGGGCUUAACUCGGAAAGGUCAACUGAUACUGUGCGACUAGAGUGCGGAAGGGGCAACUGGAAUUCUCGGUGUAGCGGUGAAAUGCGUAGAUAUCAGGAGGAACACCGGUGGCGAAAGCGCCUGUCUGGCCCAAUACUGACGCUGAUGCGCGAAAGCUAGGGGAGCAAACGGG